RNAcentral lists this ribosomal RNA (274 nucleotides) under uncultured bacterium. RNAcentral's name for it is "partial 16S ribosomal RNA". It matches the Rfam family "Bacterial small subunit ribosomal RNA", at positions 523 to 796 of the family's 1533-position model. The record is from RNAcentral.
AUACAGAGGGUGCGAGCGUUAAUCGGAAUUACUGGGCGUAAAGCGCGCGUAGGCGGCUGAUUAAGUCAGAUGUGAAAUCCCAGGGCUCAACCUUGGAACUGCAUCUGAUACUGGUCAGCUAGAGUUGAGGAGAGGGAAGUAGAAUUUCAGGUGUAGCGGUGAAAUGCAUAGAUAUCUGAAGGAAUACCAGUGGCGAAGGCGGCUUCCUGGCCUAAAACUGACGCUGAGGUGCGAAAGCGUGGGUAGCAAACAGGAUUAGAUACCCCAGUAGUCC